Molecule: long non-coding RNA, 806 nt
Organism: Anguilla anguilla (European eel)
Lineage: Eukaryota; Metazoa; Chordata; Actinopteri; Anguilliformes; Anguillidae
Exons: 3
Source: RefSeq, a predicted model, not a curated record
ACAAUCUCCGUAUUACACCGCCCAGAAAUAUGAAAAUCAUAACUACCUUCAGUUCAAAGCCAGCAGUGGAGAUGCAGGCAGCUACUCCUGUGCAGUAAGAGGCCAUGAGAAUCUCCCGUCCCCAGCAGUGACUCUCUUGCCAUCCUGGAGCACAGCACAGCACUACUGCUUGGCUCAGAACACUCAUGGAGCUCAGACCUCUACUUCUGUGUCACACAAUAUAAAAGGAAGAAGAACACCAACAGAGAGAGAGGGAGGAGCAGACGCUCUCAUACUAUAGGUAAAAAGUUCCCACCUGGAUAUUCUUCUGUGUACAUGCUGUAUUUUUAUGAAACUACAAAGUCAGUAGGUCUGUGCUGAGCAGAAGACACAAAGCACAGAUACACACCAGGCAAGUUACAGUUCAUCCAGUUCAUCACUGUGUGAUGCAGUCAUUUUCAGUCUUCCUCCUUAUUUUUAUUGGUUAAAACUAUUGAGGAAUAUUCCCCACUUAAAUCUCAAUAUGUUGUAAUUGUAUCUGUGGAUAUUAUUUAGUAUGAUUUUUUAACAUGUGAAAAAUAUGCUUCUGUAAUGUAAAUUCUUCAAGUGAUUCUGAGAUAUAUAAUCCACCAAGUCAGCAGAGGAAUCCGUUCUCGGGGACAACAGAGUGGAUAGGGAAUGCAAGGGGCUGUGUGGCCACUCUGGUUCCCUUUUAACAGUGCAACUGGAGGCGCACAUAUGUGUGACUGAGUCUCUUCCUGUUUCUCACCUCAGAGCAGAGCCUUCAGAGAGUGACAAACGCAGCCAGCGACACAAACUCUGUGCUU